CGGACGGGUGAGUAAUGUAUGGGGAUCUGCCUGAUGGCGGGGGAUAACUACUGGAAACGGUAGCUAAUACCGCAUAACGUCGCAAGACCAAAGAGGGGGACCUUAGGGCCUCUUGCCAUCGGAUGUGCCCAGAUGGGAUUAGCUAGUAGGUGGGGUAACGGCUCACCUAGGCGACGAUCCCUAGCUGGUCUGAGAGGAUGACCAGCCACACUGGAACUGAGACACGGUCCAG
RNAcentral lists this ribosomal RNA (232 nucleotides) under uncultured bacterium. RNAcentral's name for it is "partial 16S ribosomal RNA". It matches the Rfam family "Bacterial small subunit ribosomal RNA", at positions 99 to 334 of the family's 1533-position model. The record is from RNAcentral.